GAAGGAGAUGAAGAUGGUGAUCAACAUCGAGGUUGAGGUGAAGAUGAAGAUGAAAAAGAUAAGUAGUUGACAACCCAACUUGUUCGAUGAAACCUUAAACCUACUUGACACCCACCCGAUUUUGGCACACAUUCAAGACACUGAUGAUUUUUUUAUUUGUAAUUUUUCUCCAAUACUUCAUUUUUUUUAUUUUGUUAAAUUUUAAUUUGU
RNAcentral lists this long non-coding RNA (210 nucleotides) under Gossypium raimondii (Peruvian cotton). Its description in RNAcentral is "long non-coding RNA (GRAI_LNC004454)". Lineage: Eukaryota; Viridiplantae; Streptophyta; Magnoliopsida; Malvales; Malvaceae. The record is from RNAcentral.